UUUUAAUAGCAGUGGCAGUAUCGUAGCCAAUGAGGUUAAUCCGAGGCGUGAUUAUUGCUAAUUGAAAUUUUUUUCCAGUCAAUACAAAUAUGGAGGUUUAUUGCAUAUUAAG
Molecule: small nuclear RNA, 112 nt
Filed under: Chelydra serpentina (North American snapping turtle)
Lineage: Eukaryota; Metazoa; Chordata; Testudines; Chelydridae
Description: U4 spliceosomal RNA (ENSCSRG00000005121.1)
Rfam family: U4 spliceosomal RNA
About the family: U4 small nuclear RNA (U4 snRNA) is a component of the major U2-dependent spliceosome.
Source: RNAcentral